AAAUUUAAAUAGUUUAAUAAAAAUAUUGAUUUGUGGAAUCAAAGUUAUAUAUAGUAUUUUAAA
RNAcentral lists this transfer RNA (63 nucleotides) under Lycocerus asperipennis. Its description in RNAcentral is "tRNA-His". Lineage: Eukaryota; Metazoa; Arthropoda; Insecta; Coleoptera; Cantharidae. The record is from RNAcentral.